Juglans regia (Persian walnut) is the source of this 700-nucleotide long non-coding RNA. RefSeq lists it as uncharacterized. The record is from RefSeq and is a predicted model, not a curated record. NCBI's taxonomy places the organism in Eukaryota, Viridiplantae, Streptophyta, Magnoliopsida, Fagales, Juglandaceae. The transcript has 3 exons.
UACUGAUCUGUCUUCCACCCAAUUUUGCUGCAGCCAUCGCAAGCCUCCACCACCAAGCAUGAACGUGCCUAGCCACCUUGCUUUCACCACCAAAACAGAGCAAAACCCCCUCCAUCAGUCCAUCCCAGUCUUCACGUUGAACAAGGUCUGAGAAAACAACGGCGUGUGUUGCGCCGAUCUCCACCUUAGUCGAUUCUUCUCUAUGACAGAUCGACUUCCCUGCUGCACGGCGUCGCCUCCUCGACUAGCCGGCUGCCCAAUUGUGUCCCACCGUCGCGCACGGCUUCUCCACUCGGUCCCUAUUUCAGCAAGCUAUCUCCUCUCAUUUUAAUCUGUGUGUGCUACUGAGUUUAUUCUAUAUAAACUGAAAAUGGUGGGAAGGUAACUAAAGUCCACUGUGCUGCCGAGUUUAUUGUAUAUAGACUCUGGAUGUUGAAGAUAACAGAAGUCCACAGUGCUGCCAAGUUUAUUGAAAAUGACAGUUGAAGAUAAUUGAAGAAGACAUUUCAUUUGUAAAUUUGUAAUGGAAAAAUUUGAAUAUCUGGAUGUUGAUCAGUCUGGAACUUUGUCAGUGUGUGAUAUUAAUUAUAAUGCCCGAAUAUCAUCUAGUCUGGUCAGGUGACCAUACCUUGGAAAUUUAGUAAUUGGUUUGUAUACGUGUAUGAAGUACUUCCUGUAAAAUCAGAUUUCAUCAUGGAUA